Molecule: long non-coding RNA, 143 nt
Organism: Gavialis gangeticus (Gharial)
Lineage: Eukaryota; Metazoa; Chordata; Crocodylia; Gavialidae
Exons: 3
Source: RefSeq, a predicted model, not a curated record
UACCGCAAUGGUGACACUGAGACUGAGCGAGCCUCCAGAAUCCUGCUUGGGAACUCGAGCUGCAUGUAACUCCAUUUGACUCAGUCUGUGCAUCUCGCAAGGUGUUCAUGUAUAUACACGAAUGAGAUGCAUCUGGGGGUGUU